This 960-nucleotide long non-coding RNA is filed under the name Cricetulus griseus (Chinese hamster). RNAcentral describes it as "lncRNA (ENSCGRG00000026669.1)". Lineage: Eukaryota; Metazoa; Chordata; Mammalia; Rodentia; Cricetidae. The record is from RNAcentral.
UCAGAAUAUAAGCAGGGAUAAGCAGGAAAUUACUCUCUUCUGCUUCCUCAUUCUCUCUUCUCUGGAAGCCUCCAUGUGAUCCCAACAAGAGAGGAUGCUUGCCGACAGCAUCCUCCAUCAGAUAAGUCUAUAAAAUAUAUAGAGUAAUAAAUAUGGUUAAUACUUAUGACAGAGAUAGCAGAUAAAAAAAUCCUAGUCAUUGGCCAGCAACAUUGUAAAUAAUAUCAAUCUCUGUGUGUUAUUUCAGGUGCCCACGUGGCAGUGGGUCUCGGGUGGCUUACUGGAAAGAUUUAUUGGUACAUGAGUGUGCUACCCUUUUAAAAGUAAAGUUGAUUCACAUUUGUGAUUGACUCUUUUAACUCUUUAUUUAAAAAUUUUAAGUGUGUAGGUCUGGUGAGGAUAUCAUCUGGCUAAGACUUUUUACUCCUUCAUAAACUAUGAGCUAAAAUAUUUUUUCCUUAUGGAAUCAAAGUUUCACUCCAGGAUUAAAAUCGACAUCCUUGUAAUGUGCUGGCAAUGUGAGAUGGAGACUUAAGGGGAAGUAGCUUUGAAGCCUUCUCUCUAGAGUGGGAGCAAGAUCAUCAUAAAGGAGACAAGCAGAGGGAAAUCUGAAGACUCAAGAUCAGCCUCCUGCCACCAAACUUACCCAACAGGGGACACAGUCUCACUUCCUGGAGACAGAGAAGCUUCCCCUUCACCUAAAGAGUCAAAGCCUUUAUAGGGAAUUUUCUGGAGUCAGGCCCAAUGCCUCCUUUCUGGGACUGUGCCCAGGAACUCAUUCUUCUGUAGCUUACAGCCUGCAGACACAUCACUUCAGAGGGCAAUUGCUCUAGAAGUCUAUGAGAGCUGUAACACUUCUCAGCCAUGAACACAUGCUAUGUAAGGGACAGAUCUUAAUCAGUAUCCUGGCACUGUUGGGAGAGAGCUUUGAGCUGUAACAUGGUUUGGAGCUGUAAUGGC